RNAcentral lists this ribosomal RNA (515 nucleotides) under uncultured bacterium. RNAcentral describes it as "partial 16S ribosomal RNA". It matches the Rfam family "Bacterial small subunit ribosomal RNA", at positions 28 to 523 of the family's 1533-position model. The record is from RNAcentral.
GAUGAACGCUGGCGGCGUGCCUAAUACAUGCAAGUCGAGCGAAUGGAUUAAGAGCUUGCUCUUAUGAAGUUAGCGGCGGACGGGUGAGUAACACGUGGGUAACCUGCCCAUAAGACUGGGAUAACUCCGGGAAACCGGGGCUAAUACCGGAUAACAUUUUGAACCGCAUGGUUCGAAAUUGAAAUGCGGCUUCGGCUGUCACUUAUGGAUGGACCCGCGUCGCAUUAGCUAGUUGGUGAGGUAACGGCUCACCAAGGCAAUGAUGCGUAGCCGACCUGAGAGGGUGAUCGGCCACACUGGGACUGAGACACGGCCCAGACUCCUACGGGAGGCAGCAGUAGGGAAUCUUCCGCAAUGGACGAAAGUCUGACGGAGCAACGCCGCGUGAGUGAUGAAGGCUUUCGGGUCGUAAAACUCUGUUGUUAGGGAAGAACAAGUGCUAGUUGAAUAAGCUGGCACCUUGACGGUACCUAACCAGAAAGCCACGGCUAACUACGUGCCAGCCGCCGCGGUAA